AUGGACUCGCGGCUUAUCAGCUUGUUGGUGGGGUAGUGGCUUACCAAGGCUUUGACGGGUAGCCGGCCUGAGAGGGUGACCGGCCACAUUGGGACUGAGAUACGGCCCAGACUCCUACGGGAGGCAGCAGUGGGAAUAUUGCACAAUGGGCGGAAGCCUGAUGGAGCAACGCCGCGUGAGUGAAGAAGGUUUUCGGAUCGUAAAGCUCUGUUGUUGGUGAAGAAGGAUAGAGGUAGUAACUGGCCUUUAUUUGACGGUAAUCAACCAGAAAGUCACGGCUAACUACGUGCCAGCAGCCGCGGUAAUACGUAGGUGGCAAGCGUUGUCCGGAUUGUCGACGCGGCCG
This 346-nucleotide ribosomal RNA is filed under the name uncultured bacterium. Its description in RNAcentral is "bacterial SSU rRNA". It matches the Rfam family "Bacterial small subunit ribosomal RNA", at positions 225 to 546 of the family's 1533-position model. The record is from RNAcentral.